Molecule: ribosomal RNA, 253 nt
Filed under: uncultured bacterium
Lineage: Bacteria
Description: partial 16S ribosomal RNA
Rfam family: Bacterial small subunit ribosomal RNA
Source: RNAcentral
UACGUAGGUGGCAAGCGUUGUCCGGAAUUAUUGGGCGUAAAGAGCGUGUAGGCGGCCAGGUAGGUCCGUUGUGAAAACUCGAGGCUCAACCUCGAGACGUCGGCGGAAACCCUCUGGCUAGAGUCCGGAAGAGGAGAGUGGAAUUCCUGGUGUAGCGGUGAAAUGCGCAGAUAUCAGGAAGAACACCCGUGGCGAAGGCGGCUCUCUGGGACGGUACUGACGCUGAGACGCGAAAGCGUGGGGAGCAAACAGG